RNAcentral lists this ribosomal RNA (2869 nucleotides) under Millepora squarrosa. Its description in RNAcentral is "bacterial LSU rRNA". It matches the Rfam family "Bacterial large subunit ribosomal RNA". Lineage: Eukaryota; Metazoa; Cnidaria; Hydrozoa; Anthoathecata; Milleporidae. The record is from RNAcentral.
UCAAGCUACAAAGAGCUCAUGGUGGAUACCUAGGCACGCAGAGGCGAAGAAGGACGUAGCUACCAACGAUAUGCUCCGGGGAGCUGGAAGCAAGCAUUGAGCCGGAGGUUUCCGAAUAGGGCAACCUAAAAACGCUUUACUGAAUCAAUAGGUAAAGACGAGCGAACCUGGCAAACUGAAACAUCUUAGUAGCCAGAGGAAAAGAAAGCAAAAGCGAUUCCCUAAGUAGCGGCGAGCGAACAGGGAGCAGCCUAAACCAUUGGCUAAGGCCGAUGGGGUAGUGGGACAGCCAAAAGAGACAGUAGCGGUUAGAUGAAGUAGCUGAAAACUACACCAAAGAAGGUGAAAGUCCUGUAGUCAAAAACUGAAACUGCAACGGUUGGAUCCCGAGUAGCACGGGGCACGUGAAAUCCCGUGUGAAUCAGCCUCGACCACGAGGUAAGGCUAAAUACUACUGCGUGACCGAUAGUGAAAUAGUACCGCGAGGGAAAGGUGAAAAGAACCCCAGACAGGGGAGUGAAAUAGAACAUGAAACCAUGAGCUUACAAGCAAUGGGAGGACGAUUCAACGUCUGACCGUGUGCCUGUUGAAGAAUGAGCCGGCGACUGACAGGCUGUGGCAGGUUAAGGCAAUAGCCGAAGCCAAAGUGAAAGCGAGUCCGAAUAGGGCGAAAGUCACAGUUUGUCGGCCCGAACCCGGGUGAUCUAACCAUGUCCAGGAUGAAGCUUGGGUAAUACCAAGUGAAGGUCCGAACCGACCAACGUUGAAAAGUUGGCGGAUGAGGUGUGGUUAGGGGUGAAAUGCCAAUCGAACCCGGAGCUAGCUGGUUCUCCCCGAAAUGUGUUUAGGCGCAGCGGUUGUGGCAAGGAUUGGGGGGUAAAGCACUGUUUCGCUGCGGGCUGCGAGAGCGGUACCAAAGUGAGGCAAACUCAGAAUACUCAAUUCUCAGCAACCAGUGAGACGGUGGGGGAUAAGCUUCAUCGUCAAGAGGGAAACAGCCCAGACCGCCAGCUAAGGCCCCAAAAUGAUAACUAAGUGAUUAAGGAGGUGGGAGUGCUCGGACAACCAGGAGGUUUGCCUAGAAGCAGCCAUCCUUGAAAGAGUGCGUAAUAGCUCACUGGUCAAGCGCUCCUGCGCCGAAAAUGAACGGGGCUAAGUUAUCUGCCGAAGCUGCGGACUUGAUUUAAGUGGUAGGGGAGCGUUCUGUGUUGGGUGAAGCACUAGCGGCAAGCAGGUGUGGACGGCACAGAAGUGAGAAUGUCGGCUUAAGUAGCGCAAACUAGGGUGAGAAUCCCUAGCCCCGAAACCCUAAGGAUUCCUUCGGAAGGCUCGUCCGCGAAGGGUAAGUCAGGACCUAAGGCGAGGUCGAAAGGCGUAGUCGAUGGACAACGGGUUAAAAUUCCCGUACCGUUUCAGAUUGAUGCCGGGGGACGGAGAAGGUCAACAUGAGCCGGAGAAUGGUAGUUCCGGUGCAAGCAACUGAGGUGAAGACAGACGGAGAAAACGUUUCGAGCUGAGGUGCGAGUCCGACUGACUACGGUGAGGAAGUCAUGAAGGUCAAGCUUCCCAGAAAAGCCCGUAGCAUCAUAAAUCUGAAAUGCCUGUACUAGAAACCGACACAGGUGGGGUGGUAGAGAAUACCGAGGGGCGCGAGAUAACUCUCUCUAAGGAACUCGGCAAAAUGACCCCGUAACUUUGGGAGAAGGGGUACCACCGCAAGGUGGUCGCAGUGAAGAGGCCCAGGCGACUGUUUACCAAAAACAUAGGUCUCCGCCAAGUCGCAAGACGCAGUAUGGGGGCUGACGCCUGCCCAGUGCCGGAAGGUUAAGGAAGUUGGUCAGGAGGUAACUCUGAAGCUGGCGACCGAAGCCCCGGUGAACGGCGGCCGUAACUAUAACGGUCCUAAGGUAGCGAAAUUCCUUGUCGGGUAAGUUCCGACCUGCACGAAUGGCGUAACGAUGGCCACACUGUCUCCACCCGAGACUCAGCGAAAUUGAACUUGCUGUUAAGAUGCAGUAUACCCGCGGCUAGACGGAAAGACCCCGUGAACCUUUACUACAGCUUUGCACUGGACUUUGAAUAUAUUUGUGUAGGAUAGCUGGGAGGCUUUGAAGUGGUAGCGCUAGCUGCCAUGGAGCCGUCCUUGAAAUACCAGCCUGGUAAUGUUGAGGUUCUAACUCAGGUCCCUGAUCGGGAUCGAGGACAGUGUGUGGUGGGUAGUUUGACUGGGGCGGUCUCCUCCUAAAGCGUAACGGAGGAGCACGAAGGUGCGCUAAUCCUGGUCGGAAAUCAGGAGUUUAGUGUAAAGGCACAAGCGCGCUUGACUGCGAGACUGACAAGUCGAGCAGGUAGGAAACUAGGUCUUAGUGAUCCGGCGGUUCUGAAUGGAAGGGCCGUCGCUCAACGGAUAAAAGGUACUCCGGGGAUAACAGGCUGAUACCGCCCAAGAGUUCACAUCGACGGCGGUGUUUGGCACCUCGAUGUCGGCUCAUCGCAACCUGGGGCUGAAGUAGGUCCCAAGGGUUGGGCUGUUCGCCCAUUAAAGCGGUACGUGAGCUGGGUUCAGAACGUCGUGAGACAGUUCGGUCCAUAUCCGGUGCAGGCGCAAGAGCAUUGCGAGGAGCCUUCCUUAGUACGAGAGGACCGGGAAGGACGCACCGCUGGUGUACCUGUUAUCGUGCCAACGGUAAACGCAGGGUAGCCAAGUGCGGAGCGGAUAACCGCUGAAAGCAUCUAAGUGGGAAGCCCACCUCAAGAUGAGUGCUCUCAUGGAGUUUCCAGUAAGGUCACGGGCAGAACACCCGUUUACUAGGCAUCAGGUGGAAGAGCAGCAAUGUUUGCAGCCAAGAUGUGCUAACAGACCGAGGAG